Molecule: long non-coding RNA, 2255 nt
Filed under: Brassica napus (rape)
Lineage: Eukaryota; Viridiplantae; Streptophyta; Magnoliopsida; Brassicales; Brassicaceae
Description: long non-coding RNA (BNAP_LNC003221)
Source: RNAcentral
CAAACAAAACUGGUUCGCUAAGAGCUCCGACAAUGGCUGUCUGCGCAACUCACUCCUCUCUCAUGAUAGCAUACGCCGCAUCCAAGGACCUUACAAUUCCGUCUCUUUUCUCAUCUGCCAACCCAAGACCCAACAAGUUGAGCGUCGCACUCUAUCCCCCUCUUGUUCUCCUUGCGGGGAGAAGAGCUUCGAACCCAUCCUUCCCGGUGGUUGUCUCAGCCGUAGCCGCAGAGGCUGAUGUCGACACGGAGGACGCGGAGCAGAACGAAGCCACCUCCACCACCGCCACAGCCGUCCUCGAUCCGCCAAAGCCUAAGAAAGGAAAAGCAGCUUUGCUUCUCAAGAGAGAUAGAGUAUGCUUUGCUUAUCCAUCCUUUCCUUUACAAUCCCAAGCUCUAAACAUGAUUUUUUUUUCUUUCUAUGACGAUGAUGAUUCUUUUAUGUUUGUUUGUUUGUUACUCUCAUUUGGCAGACAAGGUCUAAGAGGUUUCUGGAAAUCCAAAAGCUAAGGGAAACCAAAAAGGAGUACGACGUCAAGACUGCUAUAUCUUUGCUUAAGCAAACCGCUAACACAAGGUUUGUGGAGUCGGUCGAAGCCCAUUUCCGUCUCAACAUCGAUCCUAAGUACAAUGAUCAGCAGCUGCGAGCAACCGUAUGGUUUUUUUUAUUUUGCUUUACAUAUAUGUAUAGCUUUGUGUUUCGUUGAAAUUUAAAUCUGAACGCAUUGUCUUUGGUAGGUGAGCCUUCCUAAAGGAACAGGGCAAACUGUUAAAGUGGCUGUUCUUGCACAAGGUAACUAAUUGCCCCCCCUCCCCUCCCCUCCCCUCCCCUCCCAAAUGCUAAGUUAGUCGGACAGUUCAUUCCAAGGGACUCUGUAGAAAAUACUUUGUGUGGUUGACCUUCUAUUAUUUUGUUUGGAUGGAUUGGUGUAUUUCUAUAGAGAAAAAUGUGCUGGGAUCAUUCUUUUCCUUUCUUUCUGUUUCUCUAAGUUAUUUCCAUGAUGAAUAAUAUCCAGGUGAGAAGGUCGAUGAAGCAAAAAAUGCAGGGGCAGAUAUUGUGGGCAGUGAUGAUUUGAUCGAACAGAUAAAAGGAGGGUUCAUGGAGUUCGAUAAGUUAAUUGCAUCCCCGGAUAUGAUGGUCAAGGUGUGUUUUUACUCAUUUGUUAAUAACAAAAAUAAACUUGAAUAGCUGUUACGACAUUCAUUCUUGGCAAAGAAUGUGACAUGAGACAAAUGUUGCUCGUCAUCUCUUAUUACUAAACCUUCUUUAACUUGGGCGGUUAGGUUGCUGGCCUGGGAAAGAUUCUUGGUCCACGAGGACUCAUGCCAAAUCCCAAGGCUGGUACCGUCACAGCUAACAUUCCCCAGGUUAGCCUACUACUUACUCAGGCAGGCAAAAUCAUCUUCGGGUAAUCAAUCAUAGUAUAAUGAUGAUAUGCAUAAAUCUAUCUCAGGCUAUAGAAGAGUUCAAGAAGGGAAAAGUAGAAUUCAGAGCAGACAAAACUGGGAUUGUUCACAUUCCGUUUGGGAAAGUGAAUUUCACAGAGGAAGACCUGCUCGUAAACUUCCUUGCAGCAGUGGUAGGCUGAUUCUCCCCCAUUUAAUAACGUUGUUUAUCUCUUGUGCUGCUGAAUAAAAAGAGUGGAACGUAAAUGCAGAAAUCGGUGGAGACAAACAAGCCAAAGGGAGCAAAAGGAGUGUACUGGAAAAGCGCACACAUAUGUUCGUCAAUGGGGCCAUCCAUCAAGUUGAACAUAAGGGAGAUGAUAGACUUCAAGCCAUAAAUAACCAGCUUAGAAAGAGAUAGAUUGCUAUCAUUAUCCCCUUUGUGGAUUAGGUAGUGCUCUCACUUCGCCUUCUCUACACAAACAAAACUGGUUCGCUAAGAGCUCCGACAAUGGCUGUCUGCGCAACUCACUCCUCUCUCAUGAUAGCAUACGCCGCAUCCAAGGACCUUACAAUUCCGUCUCUUUUCUCAUCUGCCAACCCAAGACCCAACAAGUUGAGCGUCGCACUCUAUCCCCCUCUUGUUCUCCUUGCGGGGAGAAGAGCUUCGAACCCAUCCUUCCCGGUGGUUGUCUCAGCCGUAGCCGCAGAGGCUGAUGUCGACACGGAGGACGCGGAGCAGAACGAAGCCACCUCCACCACCGCCACAGCCGUCCUCGAUCCGCCAAAGCCUAAGAAAGGAAAAGCAGCUUUGCUUCUCAAGAGAGAUAGAGUAUGCUUUGCUUAUCCAUCCUUUCCUUUACAAUCCCA